UACGAAGGGGGCUAGCGUUGUUCGGAAUGACUGGGCGUAAAGCGCGCGUAGGCGGAUCAGGAAGUUGGGGGUGAAAUCCCGGGGCUCAACCCCGGAAUGGCCUUCAAAACUCCUGGUCUUGAGUUCGAGAGAGGUGAGUGGAAUUCCGAGUGUAGAGGUGAAAUUCGUAGAUAUUCGGAGGAACACCAGUGGCGAAGGCGGCUCACUGGCUCGACACUGACGCUGAGGUGCGAAAGCGUGGGGAGCAAACAGG
Molecule: ribosomal RNA, 253 nt
Filed under: uncultured bacterium
Lineage: Bacteria
Description: partial 16S ribosomal RNA
Rfam family: Bacterial small subunit ribosomal RNA
Source: RNAcentral